GCCGCGGUAUAUUGACCGUACAAAGGUAGCAUAAUCAUUAGUUCAUUAAUUGUGAACUUGUAUGAAUGAUUGGACGAGAGUAUAUCUGUUUCUUAUUUAAUUAAUGAAUUUUAUUUGUCUUUGAGAAAGAAGAUAUGUUUGUGAAAGACGAGAAGACCCUGUAGAGUUUUAUUAAAUGGCUUUAUUAAGUAUGUUUUUAGUUAUUAAUUUGGUUGGGGUUAUUUAAAAUAUUAAAUGUUUUAUUUAUUAUUAUUAUUAAUUAAGUAUAAUGAGCUAAAAAUUAAUUGGUUGAUUAAAUUACCUCAGGGAUAACAGCAUAAUUUGAUUAAGGAGUUCUUAUCUAUAAUUUAGUUUGUGACCUCGAUGU
RNAcentral lists this ribosomal RNA (367 nucleotides) under Brazilozoros huxleyi. RNAcentral's name for it is "partial 16S ribosomal RNA". Lineage: Eukaryota; Metazoa; Arthropoda; Insecta; Zoraptera; Spiralizoridae. The record is from RNAcentral.